This is a long non-coding RNA of Equus caballus (horse), 299 nucleotides long. RefSeq lists it as uncharacterized. The record is from RefSeq and is a predicted model, not a curated record. NCBI's taxonomy places the organism in Eukaryota, Metazoa, Chordata, Mammalia, Perissodactyla, Equidae.
ACCUGGAGCUUGAGGUGUGAGGAAACACCUGUCACAGACACCUUCCUGUUGUCCGAGGAGAAGGAGAUCCAUUUCUGCUGGGAGGAAGCCCCCUCUGCCUGCCACUGCAGCUCCCCGCUCAGGUUUUCGUCUGCGAAGGAACCAAGGCAGAACGUUGCCAGAUGGCCGAACCACAGAACCGGUCCAAACCAGAAAGGUCCAAGAUGGCGAUGGGGUGCCAUAUACAAAAGGAAACGUGUGCACAAGCAUUAUUUACAAUAGCCAAGACUUGGAAAGAACCUAAGUGCCCAUCGAUGGAC